Molecule: ribosomal RNA, 253 nt
Filed under: uncultured bacterium
Lineage: Bacteria
Description: partial 16S ribosomal RNA
Rfam family: Bacterial small subunit ribosomal RNA
Source: RNAcentral
UACGUAGGGUGCGAGCGUUAAUCGGAAUUACUGGGCGUAGAGCGUGCGCAGGCGGUUUUGUAAGCCAGAUGUGAAAUCCCCGGGCUCAACCUGGGAAUGGCAUUUGGGACUGCAAGGCUGGAGUACGGCAGAGGAGACUGGAAUUCCUGGUGUAGCAGUGAAAUGCGUAGAGAUCAGGAGGAAUACCGAUGGCGAAGGCAGGUCUCUGGGCUGAUACUGACGCUCAUGCACGAAAGCGUGGGGAGCAAACAGG